RNAcentral lists this ribosomal RNA (300 nucleotides) under Glaesserella parasuis. Its description in RNAcentral is "partial 23S ribosomal RNA". It matches the Rfam family "Bacterial large subunit ribosomal RNA", at positions 1 to 322 of the family's 2925-position model. Lineage: Bacteria; Pseudomonadati; Pseudomonadota; Gammaproteobacteria; Pasteurellales; Pasteurellaceae. The record is from RNAcentral.
UUAAGUGACUAAGCGUACACGGUGGAUGCCUAGGCAAUCAGAGGCGAAGAAGGACGUGCUAAUCUGCGAAAAGCUUGGAUGAGUUGAUAAGAAGCGUUUAAUCCAAGAUAUCCGAAUGGGGAAACCCGAUGGAUGAAGAAUCCAUCAUUUCAUUAUGAAUCCAUAGUAAUGAAAGGCAAACCGGGAGAACUGAAACAUCUAAGUACCCCGAGGAAAAGAAAUCAACCGAGAUUUUGUCAGUAGCGGCGAGCGAAAGCGAAAGAGCCAGCAAGUGAUAGCAGCAAAGACAGAAGAAUUGGC